Molecule: ribosomal RNA, 350 nt
Filed under: Macrothrix sp. JRdW-2005
Lineage: Eukaryota; Metazoa; Arthropoda; Branchiopoda; Diplostraca; Macrotrichidae
Description: partial 16S ribosomal RNA
Rfam family: Bacterial large subunit ribosomal RNA
Source: RNAcentral
GCCUGCUAGCCGCGGUAUUCUGACCGUGCUAAGGUAGCAUAAUCAUUAGUCUUUUAAUUGUAGGCUGGUAUGAAUGGCAAGACGAGAAAGUGACUGUCUUUGAAGUUUACUUUUAGAUGAAAAGGUCUAAAUAAAUUCGGAGGACGAUCAGACCCUAUAGAGCUUUUUGGUUGGGGCGACAAGUAAUGAUCCCCUUCGUGGGAUUAAAAGACUCAGUUACCUUAGGGAUAACAGCGUAAUUUUUUUGGAGAGUUCUUAUCGAUAAGAAAGUUUGCGACCUCGAUGUUGGAUUAAGAUACCCGUCUGGUGCAGAAGCUAGAUUGGGAAGUCUGUUCGACUUUUAAAUUCUU